GAUGAACGCUGGCGGCGUGCCUAAUACAUGCAAGUCGAGCGAACGGACGAGAAGCUUGCUUCUCUGCUGUUAGCGGCGGACGGGUGAGUAACACGUGGAUAACCUACCUAUAAGACUGGGAUAACUUCGGGAAACCGGAGCUAAUACCGGAUAAUAUUUUGAACCGCAUGGUUCAAAAGUGAAAGACGGUCUUGCUGUCACUUAUAGAUGUAUCCGCGCUGCAUUAGCUAGUUGGUAAGGUAACGGCUUACCAAGGCAACGAUGCAUAGCCGAUCUGAGAGGGUGAUCGGCCACACUGGAACUGAGACACGGUCCAGACUCCUACGGGAGGCAGCAGUAGGGAAUCUUCCGCAAUGGGCGAAAGCCUGACGGAGCAACGCCGCGUGAGUGAUGAAGGUCUUCGGAUCGUAAAACUCUGUUAUUAGGGAAGAACAUAUGUGUAAGUAACUGUGCACAUCUUGACAGUACCUAAUCAGAAAGCCACGGCUAACUACGUG
RNAcentral lists this ribosomal RNA (497 nucleotides) under uncultured bacterium. RNAcentral's name for it is "partial 16S ribosomal RNA". It matches the Rfam family "Bacterial small subunit ribosomal RNA", at positions 28 to 507 of the family's 1533-position model. The record is from RNAcentral.